CUGCAUCCACUGAUAGACCUUGAACAAUUUGCUGUUUGUUUGAUUUGCACUAUGAUGCAAAGCAAAAUCAUCCCAGUGCUUUCUGUCUCUGUGGCUGCCAGAUUGAAUAAGGGAGAACAUAU
RNAcentral lists this small nucleolar RNA (122 nucleotides) under Sorex araneus (European shrew). RNAcentral's name for it is "Small nucleolar RNA SNORA31 (ENSSARG00000015669.1)". It matches the Rfam family "Small nucleolar RNA SNORA31". Rfam says of the family: ACA31 (SNORA31) belongs to the H/ACA class of snoRNAs which are thought to guide the sites of modification of uridines to pseudouridines. ACA31 is predicted to guide the pseudouridylation of U3713 in 28S rRNA and U218 in 18S rRNA. Lineage: Eukaryota; Metazoa; Chordata; Mammalia; Eulipotyphla; Soricidae. The record is from RNAcentral.